This 1124-nucleotide ribosomal RNA is filed under the name Salmonella enterica subsp. enterica serovar Kiambu. RNAcentral's name for it is "partial 23S ribosomal RNA". It matches the Rfam family "Bacterial large subunit ribosomal RNA", at positions 419 to 1547 of the family's 2925-position model. The record is from RNAcentral. Lineage: Bacteria; Pseudomonadati; Pseudomonadota; Gammaproteobacteria; Enterobacterales; Enterobacteriaceae.
GGGACACGUGGUAUCCUGUCUGAAUAUGGGGGGACCAUCCUCCAAGGCUAAAUACUCCUGACUGACCGAUAGUGAACCAGUACCGUGAGGGAAAGGCGAAAAGAACCCCGGCGAGGGGAGUGAAAAAGAACCUGAAACCGUGUACGUACAAGCAGUGGGAGCACCCUUUUGGGUGUGACUGCGUACCUUUUGUAUAAUGGGUCAGCGACUUAUAUUCUGUAGCAAGGUUAACCGAAUAGGGGAGCCGGAGGGAAACCGAGUCUUAAUUGGGCGUUAAGUUGCAGGGUAUAGACCCGAAACCCGGUGAUCUAGCCAUGGGCAGGUUGAAGGUUGGGUAACACUAACUGGAGGACCGAACCGACUAAUGUUGAAAAAUUAGCGGAUGACCUGUGGCUGGGGGUGAAAGGCCAAUCAAACCGGGAGAUAGCUGGUUCUCCCCGAAAGCUAUUUAGGUAGCGCCUCGUGAAUUCAUCUCCGGGGGUAGAGCACUGUUUCGGCUAGGGGGCCAUCCCGGCUUACCAACCCGAUGCAAACUGCGAAUACCGGAGAAUGUUAUCACGGGAGACACACGGCGGGUGCUAACGUCCGUCGUGAAGAGGGAAACAACCCAGACCGCCAGCUAAGGUCCCAAAGUCAUGGUUAAGUGGGAAACGAUGUGGGAAGGCCCAGACAGCCAGGAUGUUGGCUUAGAAGCAGCCAUCAUUUAAAGAAAGCGUAAUAGCUCACUGGUCGAGUCGGCCUGCGCGGAAGAUGUAACGGGGCUAAACCAUGCACCGAAGCUGCGGCAGCGACACUGUGUGUUGUUGGGUAGGGGAGCGUUCUGUAAGCCUGUGAAGGUGUGCUGUGAGGCAUGCUGGAGGUAUCAGAAGUGCGAAUGCUGACAUAAGUAACGAUAAAGCGGGUGAAAAGCCCGCUCGCCGGAAGACCAAGGGUUCCUGUCCAACGUUAAUCGGGGCAGGGUGAGUCGACCCCUAAGGCGAGGCCGAAAGGCGUAGUCGAUGGGAAACGGGUUAAUAUUCCCGUACUUGGUGUUACUGCGAAGGGGGGACGGAGAAGGCUAUGUUGGCCGGGCGACGGUUGUCCCGGUUUAAGCGUGUAGGUGUGUGUUCCAGGUAAAUCCGGUU